UCUCGGCUUAUCACCGGCAGUCCCCCUAGAGUGCCCAACUAAAUGAUGGCAACUAAGGGCGAGGGUUGCGCUCGUUGCGGGACUUAACCCAACAUCUCACGACACGAGCUGACGACAGCCAUGCAGCACCUGUGCAGGCUCCCGAAGGAGCACCGGCUUUCACCGGUUUCACCCUGCAUGUCAAGCCCUGGUAAGGUUCUUCGCGUUGCGUCGAAUUAAACCACAUGCUCCACCGCUUGUGCAGGCCCCCGUCAAUUUCUUUGAGUUUUAACCUUGCGGCCGUACUCCCCAGGCGGAUGACUUAAUGCGUUAGCUGCGGCACAGAGAACCGGAGAGGCCCCCCACACCUAGCGCCCAACGUUUACAGCGUGGACUAC
RNAcentral lists this unclassified non-coding RNA (377 nucleotides) under uncultured bacterium. RNAcentral describes it as "contains 16S-23S intergenic spacer region". The record is from RNAcentral.